UUGCUUAUAGGAACGAAUUGGAAGAGCAGUUCUAGUUUAACAUUUCAAUUUUCAACAUCCCGCGUUCAGAUGUUCACUUCCCACUUAAUUUUGAACCUCCCUCCAAAUCCCCCAUUUUAGGUUAGCUAUCAGAUUCAUUUCAUUUCUCUUCCCAUCACCACAGUCCUCCACUUGCUUGCCGAUCUCCAUCAGCCAUGGCACAUCGCUUUUAUAAUUUGGUCUGGGUUAUGAUUUCAUCGCACUCCAAUACCCUCUCCGCCCACUGCCUUUGCGUCUUCAUGCAAAGCAAAUUCGCUCAGCACGAUUGGAUCUGAGGAUGAACACGCACCAACUUUUCAAGACGCGAGCCCAACACCUGCAGUCGUAGUGGAGUCAUCAGGACUCAGAGCAAGUGAUUACGGGGUGAAAGGUUUGAUCGAUUUUGAGUCCUUGAUCUUACUCUGAAGAAGAAGAAGAAUCACCUAGACACUGAAGGUUUUGAGGAUCUUUAAAUACCUAAUUCGGAUAUGGAAAGUGCUUGAGAAUGCAAGACUGGACUUGUCUAUGUUUUCUUACGACUAUAUUCUAGGUGACUGGUUUGAGGAAGAAGCCAUCUUCACUGUUGUGACUGCAGGUGCUAAAUAAGACAACUGGUACUUUCAGCAAAUCUCCCUCCUGUUUCUUCAGUACUGCUUCUAAGGUUGCUUUGGAGUGUUAAACUUUCUUGGUGUUUUGAUCGGUAUUCCUUUUUGCCCAAAUUUGCUUAUUAUGUCUGAAAAUGGCCUGAUCUUAAAUAGCCUUUUUGUGGCUUGCACUUUUGCAUUGAUAUUGAUGUUAAGGUUUGUAAUUUCUUGCAGAAAGCUACAAACCCAUGUUUAGUUUAUGACUUUGGAAUUAGUUUGUAUAGUAUUUCCACUUUGAAUAUUGUUUUGACUGUGAAUAUUAACCGAUAGCGCAUUGUGAUCAUGGUCUAAUUGCUUUAGUUGUAAAAACUUUGUCUUUGACAACUGAUUUAUGCAGAAUAAUUGAAAUAAAACUGAAUUGAUUAAUAUAUGUGCAUAUUCUUGUUAUUGUUGAUAUAGAUGGACACAUUCUCAUUUUAUCAACAUGCUA
Rosa chinensis is the source of this 1092-nucleotide long non-coding RNA. RefSeq lists it as uncharacterized. The transcript is spliced from 4 exons. The record is from RefSeq and is a predicted model, not a curated record. Lineage: Eukaryota; Viridiplantae; Streptophyta; Magnoliopsida; Rosales; Rosaceae.